This 492-nucleotide ribosomal RNA is filed under the name uncultured bacterium. RNAcentral's name for it is "partial 16S ribosomal RNA". It matches the Rfam family "Bacterial small subunit ribosomal RNA", at positions 29 to 507 of the family's 1533-position model. The record is from RNAcentral.
AGUGAACGCUGGCGGUAGGCCUAACACAUGCAAGUCGAACGGCAGCACAGUAAGAGCUUGCUCUUACGGGUGGCGAGUGGCGGACGGGUGAGGAAUACAUCGGAAUCUACUUUUUCGUGGGGGAUAACGUAGGGAAACUUACGCUAAUACCGCAUACGACCUACGGGUGAAAGCAGGGGAUCUUCGGACCUUGCGCGUUUGAAUGAGCCGAUGUCGGAUUAGCUAGUUGGCGGGGUAAAGGCCCACCAAGGCGACGAUCCGUAGCGGGUCUGAGAGGAUGAUCAGCCACACUGGAACUGAGACACGGUCCAGACUCCUACGGUAGGCAGCAGUGGGGAAUAUUGGACAAUGGGGGCAAGCCUGAUCCAGCCAUACCGCGUGAGUGAAGAAGGCCUUCGGGUUGGAAAGCCAUUUUGUUGGGAAAGAAAAGCAGCAGGGUAAUACCCCGCUGUUCUGACGGUACCCAAAGAAUAAGCACCGGCUAACUUCGUG